ACAAAGAAAAUGAUCCAAAUGAAAUCAACAUCGAGACUUAGGGUUUUAUCUGACAGAAUUCCACGAGUUUUGGUGUUUGUCUAUUUCUGCAGGGGGUUAUCAGGAAAUAAGGAAGAAAGGCCCACACGUCGGGAUUACAUAGAGAUAUCAACGUGCCGCGCAAUUAUCUUACAUCUAGAAGACUCCAGAAGCCACGGGAAGGAAGCGGAGACCGAACGGAGUCAGGGACAGGGUGCCCGCCCAAGUCCUUAGGGCGCCCGCCCACCUUUUUCGGCCAAUCACGCUCAAUCUCGCGGAUUAUGCUCCACCGACCUAAAGGAUCAAGAAUAACCGUUCAAUCAAUGUCGGUUUGAUCCGACGGCCCAGGUUCACUUGAGGGGACUAUAAAACCAGACCCCUUGGCCCCUGGAGGAGGAACCCCUUGAUCAUUAUUCAUUAUUCAUAGACAGAGCAAAAGCUAGGGUUUAGAGAUGAGAGCUCUCCUCUCUUCUCUAAACUAGAGUAGAUCAAGAUAGUAGCGAGAUGGAGAGCGAAGGAGGAUUAGAGGAGAGGCCGGCCUGUCGGUUCUUCCUCCAGUUGUACUUCGCCAUGAUCAAGCUCUAAUCAAGCUUGCUCAUGGGAUGACUCUGGUAAUCUGCUUCUAAUUCAUUAUGCAAUUACUAAUCAUGUAUGUUCUGGUUCACAACUCUUUUGAGUACUUCUAAUUUAUAGGACCCUAUAGGUUAGAGUUGUAGUAUAGGUGUAAGCGUGGUGCUUAGACCUAGAUUACUUGUGGAUAUCCCCUGACUAGCUGGAUCGUAUGGUAGGCCGCGUAGGUGACAGUUACGUUGGUCCCCUGUAGUCCACCUCUCGUUAGCAGGACGGGUAGGGUUUAUCGGCUUAUGGAUAAGCAUCCUUUGUGGUGUACUCUUAUCAUGUGGUUCGUCCCAGACAUAGACAUACCCCUUUGAAGUAGAGAAACCAUAGUUAUCCUCUCUAUUCUGCUACCAUCGCCCAUAUACUAGAAUUGCUCUAUUCUCUAUUCCCAUAUUAUCACUCACUGUUAUCUUACCUUUAGUAUUGUUCUUAUUCGAUUCUACCAUCUUUCCUAUUCACACCUAUUUACUUAUCUUGGUUAAGUUAGAGCGUAGAUUAGUUCUCCCGUUUUCCUGUGGAUACGAUAAAACCUUUAACCGGGUAAAAGCUUCAACGGUAUCCGUGCGCUUGCGGAUUAUCUGUGUGCGUAUAAAUACUAUAGUACACUCUAGUGCCAUGCUGGGGAUGACAACCUAGUAUUCAAGUGGUGUUAGCAAGUGUCAACAAGCAUUUUUGGCGCCGUUGCCGGGGAUCGAACGGUUGCUGAGUUGACUACGAACUAGUUUAAUCAUUUUAUAAAAAAUAAAUAAAAAAAAAUAUUUUCCUUUUAUCCUUUGCCUCAUCUCUGCUAUUCUUUCUUCUUAUAUAAUCCUUGAUCUCUGGUCUAUUAUGAAUUCAAACAUGUCUAUCUAUGAAUUUCAUAGACCUAUGGGCACACAUCUCGAACCACCAAAAUCUUCAAAGCCUAUCAUAGCAUCUAGUUUUGAGAUAGACCCCGAAUACAUAGAAUUUAUUCAAAAACAACCUUUCUCAGGAAAAGGUGAGGAAAACCCAUACACACACCUAAGAGAGUUUUAUCGAGUCUGUGACCUCCUUCGCAUAGAAGGCAUGUCCGAUGAGACCCUUAAAUGGAAGCUCUUUCCGUUCUCUUUAACGGGAAAAGCUAGACAUUGGUAUAAAC
This 1756-nucleotide long non-coding RNA is filed under the name Sorghum bicolor (sorghum). Its description in RNAcentral is "long non-coding RNA (SBIC_LNC003159)". Lineage: Eukaryota; Viridiplantae; Streptophyta; Magnoliopsida; Poales; Poaceae. The record is from RNAcentral.